CAAAAUAAGGCUUUAUAGUAAGGCAUUUCAUUUACAUUGAAAGGGAUUCUGUGCAAAUCAGAUUAUUUUGA
RNAcentral lists this transfer RNA (71 nucleotides) under Deflorita sp. ZJZ-2017. RNAcentral describes it as "tRNA-Val". It matches the Rfam family "tRNA". From Rfam's summary of the family: Transfer RNA (tRNA) molecules are approximately 80 nucleotides in length. Their secondary structure includes four short double-helical elements and three loops (D, anti-codon, and T loops). Further hydrogen bonds mediate the characteristic L-shaped molecular structure. tRNAs have two regions of fundamental functional importance: the anti-codon, which is responsible for specific mRNA codon recognition, and the 3' end, to which the tRNAs corresponding amino acid is attached (by aminoacyl-tRNA synthetases). tRNAs cope with the degeneracy of the genetic code in two manners: having more than one tRNA (with a specific anti-codon) for a particular amino acid; and 'wobble' base-pairing, i.e. permitting non-standard base-pairing at the 3rd anti-codon position. Lineage: Eukaryota; Metazoa; Arthropoda; Insecta; Orthoptera; Tettigoniidae. The record is from RNAcentral.